AGAGAUCUAUCAUAUGUUGAUUUUGUCCUUGCAUGAAUGGAUCUUGCUGCUGGAUCUAAGCAGAUCUAUCAUGAUUUAUAUCAUCCAUCAUGAGGAUCUGCACUUAUUUUUUCUCAAUUGUGCAAUUUUAUAUUUCAUAAAUUGAUAUAUCAUGUCUUUCCUGUAUUUGCUUGAAAUUAGAAAUGUUGCAUGCCCUAGCAUUUGUAAAGAACUGCAUGAUCAACCC
RNAcentral lists this long non-coding RNA (226 nucleotides) under Phoenix dactylifera (date palm). Its description in RNAcentral is "long non-coding RNA (PDAC_LNC002433)". Lineage: Eukaryota; Viridiplantae; Streptophyta; Magnoliopsida; Arecales; Arecaceae. The record is from RNAcentral.